RNAcentral lists this ribosomal RNA (520 nucleotides) under uncultured Glomeromycotina. Its description in RNAcentral is "SSU rRNA". It matches the Rfam family "Eukaryotic small subunit ribosomal RNA", at positions 569 to 1093 of the family's 1831-position model. Lineage: Eukaryota; Fungi; Glomeromycota. The record is from RNAcentral.
AGCAGCCGCGGUAAUUCCAGCUCCAAUAGCGUAUAUUAAAGUUGUUGCAGUUAAAAAGCUCGUAGUUGAAUUUCGGGGUCAGUAGGUUGGUCAUGCCUUCGGUAUGUACUGGUCUCACUGAUUCCUCCUUCUUGAAGAUCCGUAAUGUCAUUAAUUUGGUGUUGCGGGGAAUCAGGACUGUUACUUUGAAAAAUUAGAGUGUUUAAAGCAGGCUAACGCUUGAAUACAUUAGCAUGGAAUAAUGAAAUAGGACGUUUGAUCCUAUUUUGUUGGUUUCUAGGAUUGACGUAAUGAUUAAUAGGGAUAGUUGGGGGCAUUAGUAUUCAAUUGUCAGAGGUGAAAUUCUUGGAUUUAUUGAAGACUAACUACUGCGAAAGCAUUUGCCAAGGAUGUUUUCAUUAAUCAAGAACGAAAGUUAGGGGAUCGAAGACGAUCAGAUACCGUCGUAGUCUUAACCAUAAACUAUGCCGACUAGGGAUCGGAUGAUGUUAAUUUUAAUGACUCAUUCGGCGCCUUACGG